This 490-nucleotide ribosomal RNA is filed under the name uncultured bacterium. Its description in RNAcentral is "partial 16S ribosomal RNA". It matches the Rfam family "Bacterial small subunit ribosomal RNA", at positions 28 to 507 of the family's 1533-position model. The record is from RNAcentral.
GAUGAACGCUAGCGAUAGGCUUAACACAUGCAAGUCGAGGGGCAGCAUGGUCUUAGCUUGCUAAGACUGAUGGCGACCGGCGCACGGGUGCGUAACGCGUAUGCAACUUGCCUCACAGAGGGGGAUAACCCGUCGAAAGACGGACUAAUACCGCGUACACUUGGGAUAGGGCAUCCUGACCCAAGGAAAUGAAAUUCGCUGUGAGAUAGGCAUGCGUCCCAUUAGCUAGUUGGUGAGGUAACGGCUCACCAAGGCGACGAUGGGUAGGGGGACUGAGAGGUUGAACCCCCACACUGGUACUGAGACACGGACCAGACUCCUACGGGAGGCAGCAGUGAGGAAUAUUGGUCAAUGGGCGAGAGCCUGAACCAGCCAAGUCGCGUGAAGGAUGACUGUCUUAUGGAUUGUAAACUUCUUUUAUACGGGAAUAACAAGAGCCACGUGUGGCUCCCUGCAUGUACCGUAUGAAUAAGCAUCGGCUAACUCCGUG